AAACUUUCAACAACGGAUCUCUUGGUUCUGGCAUCGAUGAAGAACGCAGCGAAAUGCGAUAAGUAAUGUGAAUUGCAGAAUUCAGUGAAUCAUCGAAUCUUUGAACGCACAUUGCGCCCGCCAGUAUUCUGGCGGGCAUGCCUGUUCGAGCGUCAUUUCAACCCUCAGGCCCCCAGUGCCUGGCGUUGGGGAUCGGCGCGGGCACGCAACUCGUCCUCCGGGGCGGGCUGCGGCGCCUGCCGGCCCCGAAAUUCAGUGGCGGUCUCGCUGUAGUCCCCCUCUGCGUAGUAGCACAACUCGCAUUGGAGCUCGGCGGUGGCCAUGCCGUAAAACACCCCACUUCUGAAAGUUGACCUCGGAUCAGGUAGGAAUACCCGCUGAACUUAAGCAUAUCAAUAAGCGGAG
RNAcentral lists this ribosomal RNA (405 nucleotides) under uncultured fungus. RNAcentral describes it as "eukaryotic LSU rRNA". The stretch from base 2 to 155 matches the Rfam family "5.8S ribosomal RNA". Lineage: Eukaryota; Fungi. The record is from RNAcentral.